Molecule: ribosomal RNA, 424 nt
Filed under: uncultured bacterium
Lineage: Bacteria
Description: bacterial SSU rRNA
Rfam family: Bacterial small subunit ribosomal RNA
Source: RNAcentral
AGGAUCAUUCGCAAUGGACGAAAGUCUGACGAUGCGACGCUGCGUGGAGGAUGAAGGCCUUCGGGUUGUAAACUCCUGUCAUAAGGGAAAAGGCGAUAGAUGUCAAUACCAUCUAAAGUUGAUUGUACUUUAAGAGGAAGGGACGGCUAACUCUGUGCCAGCAGCCGCGGUAAUACAGAGGUCCCUAGCGUUGUUCGGAUUUACUGGGCGUAAAGGGUACGUAGGCGGCGAGGCGUGUCGAGUGUGAAAUCUCCGGGCUCAACCCGGAAAGUGCGCUCGAAACUACCUUGCUGGAGUAUGGGAGAGGGAAGGGGAAUAUAGGGUGUAGCGGUGAAAUGCGUUGAUAUCCUAUAGAACACCGGAGGCGAAGGCGCCUUCCUGGAACAUAACUGACGCUAAGGUACGAAAGUCGGGGGAGCAAACA